This 441-nucleotide ribosomal RNA is filed under the name uncultured bacterium. Its description in RNAcentral is "partial 16S ribosomal RNA". It matches the Rfam family "Bacterial small subunit ribosomal RNA", at positions 338 to 795 of the family's 1533-position model. The record is from RNAcentral.
CCUACGGGAGACAGCAGUGGGGAAUAUUGCACAAUGGGCGAAACCCUGAUGCAGCGACGCCGCGUGAGUGAAGAAGUACCUCGGUAUGUAAAGCUCUAUCAGCAGGGAAGCAGAAAGACGGUACCUGACUAAGAAGCGCCUGCUAACUACGUGCCAGCAGCCUCGGUAAUUCGUAGGGGGCAAGCGUUAUCCGGAUUUACGGGGGGUAAAGGGAGGGUAGACGGCUGUGCAAGGCUGAAGUGAAAGCCUAGGGCUCAACCCUGAGACUGCUUUGGAAACUGUGGAGCUAGAGUGCUGGAGAGGUAAGCGGAAUUCGUAGUGUAGCGGUGAAAUGCGUAGAUAUUAGGAAGAACCCCAGUGGCGAAGGCGGCUUACUGGACAGUAACUGACGUUGAGGCUCGAAAGCGUGGGGAGCAAACAGGAUUAGAUACCCGGGUAGUC